UCCCUCCUCCACCUGUUAACUGCUCCACUCCCUCCAUCGUUUGGGUUCAAAUGCAGUCUUGAACACUUACUAGCUGUGUGACCCUUUUUGCUGCAGUUUUCUAAUCAUAAAAUGAGAUAGAAAAGGAAAUGGCAAAGUACCAGUAUCUUUUCUAAGAAAAUCAUUCCAAGUGGGUUCAUAAAAAGUUGGCCAUAACUGAACUAUAACUACAAUUUGAUGAUGUUGAUAGACUCUUCUUUACUGCCCAUGAGUUCAUCUUCUCAAGAGUUAGGACCCUGGAGGAAUCCUUCAGACAUGACAUUCUCCAACUCAUACACAUAUGGAUGGCUUUGUCAAGAACUUUUGCCUUAGGAAGGACAAUUGUCUGCAGGAUGAUGAGAGCCCCAGCUGUGCAAUGAAUAGUGUUGAAGGAAGCUGACCAGGUGAAGGACUAGCUAGCAGUGUCCAUCCCACAUGGUCUCCCUCCUAGCCAUCAUCUGAGGAUGGAACUCCUAUUGGGAAGAAAUCAGCCAUCCCCACCAACCAACGGCGAUUAACAGGAUAUGCAAGCUGACUUGGCUGAAGCUUCCUGAGGAGGCAAUAUGUGCCAGGCAAGUAAAACCAUUACUACCAUCUUAACUGACCCAACAUCUCAGACCUUGAAGAUCUCCAUCUUCAGACCCUGAUGGAGACAGUCUGGGAUCUUGUACUCAAGGCCCUUGAGAAUAGAUCAUUGGAUCUUGUGAUGAAGAGAACCAUCUACACCCAGAGAGAGGAUUG
Sarcophilus harrisii (Tasmanian devil) is the source of this 759-nucleotide long non-coding RNA. RefSeq lists it as uncharacterized. NCBI's taxonomy places the organism in Eukaryota, Metazoa, Chordata, Mammalia, Dasyuromorphia, Dasyuridae. The transcript has 4 exons. The record is from RefSeq and is a predicted model, not a curated record.